Molecule: small RNA, 124 nt
Filed under: uncultured Blautia sp.
Lineage: Bacteria; Bacillati; Bacillota; Clostridia; Lachnospirales; Lachnospiraceae
Description: Ribosomal protein L10 leader
Rfam family: Ribosomal protein L10 leader
About the family: This family is a putative r-protein leader autoregulatory structure found in B. subtilis and other low-GC Gram-positive bacteria. It is located in the 5' untranslated regions of mRNAs encoding ribosomal proteins L10 and L12 (rplJ-rplL). A Rho-independent transcription terminator structure that is probably involved in regulation is included at the 3' end.
Source: RNAcentral
AAUAGCUGCCGAAGACAGCAGGUGCCGUUAGGCAUAAGGAUUAAAACGCCUGCCGAGGAAAGAUUCAUUCUUAAAAUAAUUAAGAUUGAUAAAACCUCUCUGUCUUAUGCGGAGAGGUUUUUUU